UACGUAGGGGGCUAGCGUUGUCCGGAAUCAUUGGGCGUAAAGAGCGUGUAGGCGGCCCGGUAAGUCCGCUGUGAAAGUCGGGGGCUCAACCCUCGAAUGCCGGUGGAUACUGUCGGGCUAGAGUGCGGAAGAGGCGAGUGGAAUUCCUGGUGUAGCGGUGAAAUGCGCAGAUAUCAGGAGGAACACCGAUUGCGAAGGCAGCUCGCUGGGACGUAACUGACGCUGGAGACGCGAAAGCGUGGGGAGCAAACAGG
RNAcentral lists this ribosomal RNA (254 nucleotides) under uncultured bacterium. RNAcentral describes it as "partial 16S ribosomal RNA". It matches the Rfam family "Bacterial small subunit ribosomal RNA", at positions 524 to 776 of the family's 1533-position model. The record is from RNAcentral.